Molecule: long non-coding RNA, 1785 nt
Filed under: Homo sapiens (human)
Lineage: Eukaryota; Metazoa; Chordata; Mammalia; Primates; Hominidae
Description: HSALNT0302143
Source: RNAcentral
ACACGGUCUCCCUCUGAUGCCGAGCCAAAGCUGGACUGUACUGCUGCCAUCUCGGCUCACUGCAACCUCCCUGCCUGAUUCUCCUGCCUCAGCCUGCCAAGUGCCUGCGAUUGCAGGCGCGCGCCGCCACGCCUGACUGGUUUUCGUAUUUUUUUGGUGGAGACGGGAUUUCGCUGUGUUGGCCAGGCUGGUCUCCAGCUCCUAACCGCGAGUGAUCUGCCAGCCUCGGCCUCCCGAGGUGCAGGGAUUGCAAACGGAGCCUCGUUCACUCAGUGCUCAAUGGUGCCCAGGCUGGAGUGCAGUGGCGUGAUCUUGGCUCGCUACAACCUCCACCUCCCAGCCGCCUGCCUUGGCCUCCCAAAGUGCUGAGUGCAGCCUCUGCCCGGCCGCCACCCCGUCUGGGAAGUGAGGAGCGUCUCUGCCUGGCUGCCCAUCGUCUGGGACGUGAGGAGCCCCUCUGCCUGGCUGCCCAGUCUGGAAAGUGAGGAGCGUCUCUGCCCGGCCGCCAUCCCAUCUAGGAAGUGAGGAGCGCCUCCUCCCUGCCGCCAUCCCAUCUAGGAAGUGAGGAGCGUCUCUGCCCGGCCUCCCAUCCUCUGAGAUGUGGGGAGCGCCUCUGCCCCGCCGCCCGGUCUGCAAUGUGAGGAGCGCCUCUGCCUGGCCGCGACCCCGUCUGGGAGGUGAGGAGCGUCUCUGCCCGGCCGCCCCGUCUGAGAAGUGAGGAGACCCUCCGCCUGGCAACCGCCCCGUCUGAGAAGUGAGGAGCGCCUCCGGCCGGCAGCCACCCCAUCUGGGAAGUGAGGAGCGUCUCCGCCCGGCAGCCACCCCGUCCGGGAGGGAGGUGGGGGUCAGCCCCCGCCAGGCCAGCUGCCCCGUCUGGGAGGGAGGUGGGGGGGUCAGCCCCCCGCCCGGCCAGCCACCCCGUCCGGGAGGUGAGGGGCGCCUCUGCCCAGCCGCCCCUACUGGGAAGUGAGGAGCCCCUCUGCCCGGCCAGCCGCCCCGUCCGGGAGGGAGGUGGGCGGGUCAGCCCCCCGCCCAGCCAGCCGCCCUGUCCGAGAGGGAGGUGGGGGGGGUCAGCCCCCCGCCUGGCCAGCCGCCCCGUCUGGGAGGGAGGUGGGGGGGGUCAGCCCCCCGCCCGGCCAGCCGCCUUGUCUGGGAGGUGAGGGGCGCCUCUGCCCGGCCGCCCCUACUGGGAAGUGAGGAGCCCCUCUGCCCCACCAGCCGCCCCGUCUAGGAGGGAGGUGGGGGGGUCAGUCCCCCGCCCGGCCAGCCGCCCCAUCCGGGAGGGAGGUGGGGGGUCAGCCCCCCGCCCGGCCAGCCGCCCAGUCCGGGAGGUGAGGGGCGCCUCUUCCCGGCCGCCCCUACUGGGAAGUGAGGAGCCCCUCUGCCCGGCCACCACCCCAUCUGGGAGGUGUACCCAACAGCUCAUUGAGAACGGGCCAUGAUGACAAUGGUGGUUUUGUGGAAUAGAAAGGGGGGAAAGGUGGGGAAAAGAUUGAGAAAUCGGAUGGUUGCCGUGUCUGUGUAGAAAGAAGUAGACAUGGGAGACUUUUCAUUUUGUUCUGUACUAAGAAAAAUUCUUCUGCCUUGGGAUCCUGUUGAUCUGUGACCUUACCCCCAACCCUGUGCUCUCUGAAACAUGUGCUGUGUCCACUCAGGGUUACAUGGAUUAAAGGCGGUGCAAGAUGUGCUUUGUUAAACAGAUGCUUGAAGUCAGCAUGCUCGUUAAGAGUCAUCACCACUCCCUAAUCUCAAGUACCCAGGGACACAAACACUGCGGAAGGCCGC